AGCGAACGCUGGCGGCAGGCUUAACACAUGCAAGUCGAGCGGGCACUUCGGUGUCAGCGGCAGACGGGUGAGUAACACGUGGGAACGUACCCUUUGGUUCGGAAUAACGCUGGGAAACUAGCGCUAAUACCGGAUACGCCCUUUUGGGGAAAGGCUUGCUGCCGAAGGAUCGGCCCGCGUCUGAUUAGCUAGCUGGUGGGGUAAUGGCCUACCAAGGCGACGAUCAGUAGCUGGUCUGAGAGGAUGAUCAGCCACACUGGGACUGAGACACGGCCCAGACUCCUACGGGAGGCAGCAGUGGGGAAUAUUGGACAAUGGGCGCAAGCCUGAUCCAGCCAUGCCGCGUGAGUGAUGAAGGCCUUAGGGUUGUAAAGCUCUUUUGUCCGGGACGAUAAUGACGGUACCGGAAGAAUAAGCCCCGGCUAACUUCGUG
RNAcentral lists this ribosomal RNA (433 nucleotides) under uncultured bacterium. RNAcentral describes it as "partial 16S ribosomal RNA". It matches the Rfam family "Bacterial small subunit ribosomal RNA", at positions 29 to 507 of the family's 1533-position model. The record is from RNAcentral.